CUCUUACCCAUGUCUUUUGAGUACCUUCGUUUCCUCGGCGGGUUCGCCCGCCGAUUGGACAAUUUAAACCAUUUGCAGUUGCAAUCAGCGUCUGAAAAAACAUAAUAGUUACAACUUUCAACAACGGAUCUCUUGGUUCUGGCAUCGAUGAAGAACGCAGCGAAAUGCGAUAAGUAGUGUGAAUUGCAGAAUUCAGUGAAUCAUCGAAUCUUUGAACGCACAUUGCGCCCCUUGGUAUUCCAUGGGGCAUGCCUGUUCGAGCGUCAUUUGUACCUUCAAGCUCUGCUUGGUGUUGGGUGUUUGUCUCGCCUCUGCGCGUAGACUCGCCUCAAAACAAUUGGCAGCCGGCGUAUUGAUUUCGGAGCGCAGUACAUCUCGCGCUUUGCAUUCAGAACGACGACGUCCAAA
This 408-nucleotide ribosomal RNA is filed under the name uncultured Peyronellaea. RNAcentral describes it as "eukaryotic LSU rRNA". The stretch from base 113 to 266 matches the Rfam family "5.8S ribosomal RNA". The record is from RNAcentral. Lineage: Eukaryota; Fungi; Ascomycota; Dothideomycetes; Pleosporales; Didymellaceae.